This 495-nucleotide ribosomal RNA is filed under the name uncultured bacterium. RNAcentral's name for it is "partial 16S ribosomal RNA". It matches the Rfam family "Bacterial small subunit ribosomal RNA", at positions 28 to 507 of the family's 1533-position model. The record is from RNAcentral.
GACGAACGCUGUCGGCGUGCCUAAUACAUGCCAGUAGAACGCUGAAGGAGGAGCUUGCUUCUCUGGAUGAGUUGCGAACGGGUGAGUAACGCGUAGGUAACCUGCCUGGUAGCGGGGGAUAACUAUUGGAAACGAUAGCUAAUACCGCAUAACAGUAGAUAUCGCAUGAUAUCUACUUGAAAGUUGCAAUUGCAUCACUACCAGAUGGACCUGCGUUGUAUUAGCUAGUUGGUGAGGUAACGGCUCACCAAGGCGACGAUACAUAGCCGACCUGAGAGGGUGAUCGGCCACACUGGGACUGAGACACGGCCCAGACUCCUACGGGAGGCAGCAGUAGGGAAUCUUCGGCAAUGGACGGAAGUCUGACCGAGCAACGCCGCGUGAGUGAAGAAGGUUUUCGGAUCGUAAAGCUCUGUUGUAAGAGAAGAACGAGUGUGAGAGUGGAAAGUUCACACUGUGACGGUAUCUUACCAGAAAGGGACGGCUAACUACGUG